AGAGGAAACAGGGACAUGGAGGAAAUGAAACAGUGAAAGGGGAGGACUUAAGGAAGGGAUAAAGAAAGGGGCCUAUCAAAGGAUAGCCAACUUCCCCAGGCCUGUCUUGUCCCCAGUCACCAAGGCAGUGAUGCAGUGUAUCUCUGUGAGGGAAUAAGGACACCAAGCAGCUUGGUUCUGUGGACAAUGAGGCUUCAUGACUACCUGCAAACAACUAUGGGUGACAAGGUUACAAGGAUUUUCUACUUGUGGAUUUCAAUUCAACUGGAAAGACACCUCCUCAGGUCUCCCUACACUGCUGGAGUGGUUCUGCCAGCAUCUUCUAUCUUCCCAUCGUUGCCCUGGAUACCUGCCCAGUUCUCAUCCCCCACCUUCAAGAGAAGGCCGUAACCUUAGGCCUGGAACUGGAACUGGAGAGGAACCAAUGAGGCAAGGCCGGCAUAGCUUCAAGGAAUGAAGUCUGGGAAUGAAAAGAAAUCAGCUGCCCGGAAGCAAAUUGGCUGACUCUAACGAAGUUAAUCCAUGGAUAUUUGAUGAAGUCCAAACUAUCAUUAUAACUGUAAGUAUUUCAGCCCUAAGCAAUUUUCUGAUAACCUGGACAGAAGGGGAGUGAGUCAGGAUGGAUUUACUUCUAGAGCUAUGUAUGAGGGUGCAGGUUGGAGAAGGUCAAAGCCAGUCUGGGCUCCAUAUAAGUUCAGGGUGUGCUUUAACUGUAUAAUGAAACCCUGUCUCUAAUCUCUCAUAAGAAAACACAGACCUCUGAGUUCUUUGUUACAAUUUUACCUUGUGCAAGUCUCAUCUCAUUAUAAAGGUAACUCUAAAAUUCCCUUUCAAUACAGUUAGUACUUACAGGACUUAGAGACUUUUUUUAACUACAUUAAUUUUAAAUUUUUAUAUAUGUGUACCGUAUCUGCAGCACCCCUUCCUUCCAACUUCUUCCGUGUCUUGAAGGCUUUUGAAAAUUAGCCUUGUC
Rattus norvegicus (Norway rat) is the source of this 973-nucleotide long non-coding RNA. RefSeq lists it as uncharacterized. The record is from RefSeq and is a predicted model, not a curated record. NCBI's taxonomy places the organism in Eukaryota, Metazoa, Chordata, Mammalia, Rodentia, Muridae.